UGAUGCUCGAUGACACCAUAUUUGGAUCCACAUGUUCCGUACACAUUGGACAAACUUCUUCACUUUCGAUGAUUCUGCAAAAAAACGAAAAUAACUGUCAACACCUCUGACAAAAAAUAGAAACAGUUUGCAGAUGGAUAAUGUGACGAACUUUGGAGAAAAAUUCACAAAUUCUUCGCCACAGAACUAAUGAAUCGAUGCAAAAAAUGAAAAAGAACUGGGAGCCACUCACCGCAGGAACUCAGUUGCGAUUUUGGGAAACUCAUAUUGUAGACAAACUGUAAAGUCUUCUUUGAGAAGUUGGCAUGGAUUUGCGUUUGGUAUUCAGGCCGCAUAAAGUCGAACGCUGCAUGCUUCAGUCCGGCUCUAUGGCAUUCUAUUACCGUCGAUGUUGAAAUUGGAACGAUAUCUGAAAUAGAAUUAGGCCAUUUGAGAGAAUGGGAAUUGUUUGGUGGCAAUUAUACUCCGUUUGUUCGAAUUGAAUUCUUCACCAUCAUGAACAAGAACAUCCUUCCUGACACUUGGAUAACCUUGUCAAGUCUUUCGGUGUUGUCGACGUUGUCUCUUGUCCUCUACCUCUGUAGCCUCCAGGCGUCGAUCGGCGUCCUAAAGCAAAGCCAACCAAGCGAAUUGAAGCACCUUGUAACAAGUGGUCAAAGCAUAUCGACGAUGGACCAACUUUACCUACGAUAAUUCCUCCUAGGAAAAAUGAAUCAGCAGAACCGGUCAUGCUAUGAUCGAAACAACUACAUCACCGCAGCGUAUUAUUGUUCAAAUUAUGUUCAGAAGGACCCAGGGAUCUCGUCUUCCCAAUGAGUGACAAAGUCAGGUUGUAUCAAGUUUGAAUGGCAUAGUUGAUUCACCCCAUGUUCACCGUGUGUUGUCGUAAUUCAUUUCUUGGCAAACACCUGAAGAAAUAUAAUUGAAAAAAUUAUUUUUAAUCAAUAACAGGAUCCCAUCUAUGUCCUGCUAGCGUCCAAUAAUAUGCAGGCAAUGUCACUUUAUCUUAAAUUCAUGUCAAGGUUUUUCCCAGUCUUUAAUCAGUUUUUUCUCCAUUUUUGAAUUAUUUAUUCAAUGAGCACAUCUCCACGAGUCCUUCGAUGCGCCUCAUGAUUUUAUAUCCUCCUGGAUUAAUUCCUGAUCGUUUUCUAAUUUUUUUCUAUUUUUUUCUGAUUUUUUCCGAUUUUUCCCCAAUUUUUA
Molecule: unclassified non-coding RNA, 1200 nt
Filed under: Athalia rosae (coleseed sawfly)
Lineage: Eukaryota; Metazoa; Arthropoda; Insecta; Hymenoptera; Athaliidae
Description: misc RNA ENSAEAG00005005837.1
Source: RNAcentral